This 616-nucleotide ribosomal RNA is filed under the name uncultured bacterium. Its description in RNAcentral is "bacterial SSU rRNA". The stretch from base 1 to 519 matches the Rfam family "Bacterial small subunit ribosomal RNA", at positions 338 to 873 of the family's 1533-position model. The record is from RNAcentral.
CCUACGGGAGGCAGCAGUGGGGAAUAUUGGACAAUGGGCGAAAGCCUGAUCCAGCAAUGCCGCGUGAGUGAUGAAGGCCUUAGGGUUGUAAAGCUCUUUUACCAGGGAUGAUAAUGACAGUACCUGGAGAAUAAGCUCCGGCUAACUCCGUGCCAGCAGCCGCGGUAAUACGGAGGGAGCUAGCGUUGUUCGGAAUUACUGGGCGUAAAGCGUACGUAGGCGGUUAUUCAAGUCAGAGGUGAAAGCCUGGAGCUCAACUCCAGAACUGCCUUUGAAACUAGAUAGCUAGAAUCUUGGAGAGGUGAGUGGAAUUCCGAGUGUAGAGGUGAAAUUCGUAGAUAUUCGGAAGAACACCAGUGGCGAAGGCGACUCACUGGACAAGUAUUGACGCUGAGGUACGAAAGCGUGGGGAGCAAACAGGAUUAGAUACCCUGGUAGUCCACGUCGUAAACGAUGAUAACUAGCUGUUCGGGCUCUACGAGCUUGAGUGGCGCAGCUACGACAUUAAGUUAGUCCGUCCGUCGGGAGGUACGGUCGCGAAGAAGUUAAACGUAACGUAAAGUUAAAGUUAGUACGGCGUUGAGACGUUGCCGACGGACGACGACGAGGGAGGAGG